This 253-nucleotide ribosomal RNA is filed under the name uncultured bacterium. RNAcentral describes it as "partial 16S ribosomal RNA". It matches the Rfam family "Bacterial small subunit ribosomal RNA", at positions 524 to 776 of the family's 1533-position model. The record is from RNAcentral.
UACGUAGGGUGCGAGCGUUAAUCGGAAUUACUGGGCGUAAAGCGUGCGCAGGCGGUUCGCCAAGUCAGGCGUGAAAUCCCCGGGCUUAACCUGGGAAUUGCGCUUGAAACUAGCGGGCUUGAGUGUGGCAGAGGGGGGUGGAAUUCCACGUGUAGCAGUGAAAUGCGUAGAGAUGUGGAGGAACACCGAUGGCGAAGGCAGCCCCCUGGGUCAACACUGACGCUCAUGCACGAAAGCGUGGGGAGCAAACAGG